This is a long non-coding RNA of Junco hyemalis (dark-eyed junco), 1320 nucleotides long. The record is from Ensembl. NCBI's taxonomy places the organism in Eukaryota, Metazoa, Chordata, Aves, Passeriformes, Passerellidae.
AGAGUAACCAUAGGCUGGCCUGAGAGUGACCACUGAGUGACCACUGAGUGACCACGUGCUGGCCUGAGAAUGACCAUGGAGUGACCGCUGACCACUGAGUGACCAGCCAGGAAUGGCCACUGACCAACUGACCACAUGGGAGUGACCAACUGACCAUCCAGAAAUGAAUGGAGUGGACACAGAGUGGACACAGAGUGGACACAGAGUGGACAUUAAAAUGGACACUGACCACACCAGGGGUCACCUGUUCCAAUUUUUGGGACCCCAGCCCCAAAUUUUGGGGUUCUGGACCCGAUUUUGUUACCCCGGCCCCAAAUUUGGGGUCCUUAACCCAAAUUUUGGGGUUCUGAACCCAAAUUUUGGGGUUCUGGACUCAGAUUUUGGGGUCCCAACCCCAUUUUUGAGACCCCAGCCCCACAUUUAGGGUCCCCAAUCCACAUUUUGGGACCCCAGACCCAUUUUUGGGGUCUCAACCCCAAAUUUUGGGGGUCCUGGAUUCAGAUUUUGGGGUCCCAAACCCAAAUUUUAGAGUCCUAAACCGAAAUUUUGGGACCCCGACCCCAAAUGUUAAGACCCCACCCCAUUUUCAUCUCCCCUGACCCCAAAUUUUUUUAUUCUGACCCCAAAUUUUGGGACCCCAGCCCCAAAUUUCGGGGUCCUCGCCCCCAAUUUUGAGACCGCAACCCCAAAUUUUGUAAUUCUGACCCCAAAUUUUGAGACCCCGACCCCAUUUUUGGGACCCCAGCCCCAAAUUUUAGGACCCCAAUCCCAAAUUUUGGGAUUCUGACCCCAAAUUUCGGGACCUUGACCCCAAAUUUUGGGACCCCAGCUCCAUUUUCACCCCUCCAACCCCAAAUUUUGGGACCCCAACCCCAAAUUUUGUGAUUCUGACCCCAAAUUUUAGGACCCCAAUCCCAAAUUUUGGGGUUCUGAUCCCAAAUUUUGGGACCCCAGCCCCAUUUCUGGGACCCCGACCCCAAAUUUUGAAGUUCUGACCCCAAAUUUUUGGACCCCAACCCCAUUUUUGGGACCCCAGCCCCAUUUUUAGGCUUCUGAACCCAAAUUUUGGGACCCCGACCCCAAAUUUUCUCAUUCUGACCCCAAAUUUUGGGACCCCAGCCCCAAAUUUUGUGAUUCCGACCCCAAAUUUUGAGGUUCUGGACCCAAAUUUUGGGACCUUGACCCCAAAUUUCGGGGUCCUAGCCCUAAAUUUUGUGAUUCCGACCCCAAAUUUCGGGACCCCAGCCCCAUUUUUUGUACCCCGACCCCAAAUUUUGCGAUUCCGACCCCAAAUUUUUUGGAUUCCCCCCCCCCAAUAAA